UACGUAGGGUGCGAGCGUUGUCCGGAAUUAUUGGGCGUAAAGGGCUCAUAGGCGGUUUGUCGCGUCGGGAGUGAAAUCAUCUGGCUUAACUGGGUGCUUGCUUUCGAUACGGGCAGACUAGAGGUAUGCAGGGGAGAACGGAAUUCCUGGUGUAGCGGUGAAAUGCGCAGAUAUCAGGAGGAACACCGGUGGCGAAGGCGGUUCUCUGGGCAUGACCUGACGCUGAGGAGCGAAAGUGUGGGGAGCGAACAGG
Molecule: ribosomal RNA, 253 nt
Filed under: uncultured bacterium
Lineage: Bacteria
Description: partial 16S ribosomal RNA
Rfam family: Bacterial small subunit ribosomal RNA
Source: RNAcentral